RNAcentral lists this ribosomal RNA (253 nucleotides) under uncultured bacterium. RNAcentral describes it as "partial 16S ribosomal RNA". It matches the Rfam family "Bacterial small subunit ribosomal RNA", at positions 524 to 776 of the family's 1533-position model. The record is from RNAcentral.
UACGUAGGUGGCAAGCGUUGUCCGGAGUUAUUGGGCGUAAAGCGUGCGUAGGUGGUGAGUUAAGUCUGAUGUGAAAUCCCCGGGCUCAACCUGGGAAUGGCAUUGGAUACUGGCUCGCUAGAGUGCGGUAGAGGGUGGUGGAAUUCCCGGUGUAGCAGUGAAAUGCGUAGAGAUCGGGAGGAACAUCUGUGGCGAAGGCGGCCACCUGGACCAGCACUGACACUGAGGCACGAAAGCGUGGGGAGCAAACAGG